Molecule: ribosomal RNA, 459 nt
Filed under: uncultured bacterium
Lineage: Bacteria
Description: partial 16S ribosomal RNA
Rfam family: Bacterial small subunit ribosomal RNA
Source: RNAcentral
CCUACGGGUGGCAGCAGUGAGGAAUAUUGGUCAAUGGACGAGAGUCUGAACCAGCCAAGUAGCGUGAAGGAUGACUGCCCUAUGGGUUGUAAACUUCUUUUAUAUGGGAAUAAAACGUUCCACGUGUGGGAUUGUGUAUGUACCAUAUGAAUAAGGAUCGGCUAACUCCGUGCCAGCAGCCGCGGUAAUACGGAGGAUGCGAGCGGUAUCCGGCUUUAUUGGGUUUAAAGGGUGCGUAGGCGGGUUAUCAAGUCAGCGGGAAAAUCGUGGAGCUCAACUCCAUCCAGCCGUUGAAACUGGUGCUCUUGAGUGGGCGAGAAGUAUGCGGAAUGCGUGGUGUAGCGGUGAAAUGCAUAGAUAUCACGCAGAACUCCGAUUGCGAAGGCAGCAUACCGGCGCCCGACUGACGCUGAAGCACGAAAGCGUGGGUAUCGAACAGGAUUAGAUACCCUUGUAGUC